GACGAACUGCGCAAACGUUAUUCGGAAUCACUGGGCUUAAAGAGUUCGUAGGCGGCGUGGAAGGUCGGGUGUGAAAUCCCUCGGCUCAACCGAGGAACUGCGCCCGAAACCACUAUGCUUGAGGGAGACAGGGGUGAGCGGAACUAAUGGUGGAGCGGUGAAAUGCACUGAUAUCAUUAGGAACACCGGUGGCGAAAGCGGCUCACUGGGUCUCUACUGACGCUGAGGAACGAAAGCUAGGGUAGCGAAC
RNAcentral lists this ribosomal RNA (250 nucleotides) under uncultured bacterium. Its description in RNAcentral is "partial 16S ribosomal RNA". It matches the Rfam family "Bacterial small subunit ribosomal RNA", at positions 524 to 773 of the family's 1533-position model. The record is from RNAcentral.